AAGGUCUUUACUUGUUUUGUGGCAAUCUAGUUAUUAUAGAAAAAAACAGAACUGUGGUACCACUCUCAUGCUCUUCUGACAACAGGUAUGUUUCAGGACAUCUGCCUAAAUACCGAGGACAAGACUGCAUUUCUCUAAGUUAAGAUGCCUGGAUGAAAUAGUUAUACGGUCUCCCUUAUAGUCCAUGGAGAGAAGAAUGCAGCAGUUCGGUGUGACUCGUGGUCAAGUGUAUAUCCUAGGAUAAGAAACCUCAGAGGCUCAUCUUGCUUUUGAACAGACAUUCAGAUCUUUAUGACUUUUUGGGUCAGAGGGAAGAAGCACACAGGGAACAUGCUUAAGUCACUUGCUACUUCUGGUCCAGGACACUGAGUGAUCAACUGCAAUGAUGAGGAAGGAACGUACUGUAUGUAUAAUGUAAUUCUACAUAAGUAGCUACAUUUCAGUAGUCACUGGAAAACCUACUGAAAAGUUAUGAAAAGCCUUAGUGUGGAGGAGACAGGACUG
This is a long non-coding RNA of Columba livia (rock pigeon), 504 nucleotides long. RefSeq lists it as uncharacterized. The transcript is spliced from 3 exons. The record is from RefSeq and is a predicted model, not a curated record. Lineage: Eukaryota; Metazoa; Chordata; Aves; Columbiformes; Columbidae.